This is a long non-coding RNA of Daktulosphaira vitifoliae (grape phylloxera), 1261 nucleotides long. RefSeq lists it as uncharacterized. The transcript is spliced from 5 exons. NCBI's taxonomy places the organism in Eukaryota, Metazoa, Arthropoda, Insecta, Hemiptera, Phylloxeridae. The record is from RefSeq and is a predicted model, not a curated record.
UCGAGUUUUUCGCAUUUUGUAUAGACUAAUCGAGUCUAUACCGUUUCUAUAUUUAAAAUAAACUUUCUUUUACUGAAGAAAAUUUUUACAUAACUGAAAAACAAUUUUCAGUUUGAAAAUUAUAUCAUCACUAUUUUUUGUCUUAAAAGGUUAUUAACAAUUUACAAACUAUUUUUGCAGACACGUUAAUUCUAUGUUAUCUGAUCAUAGUACCAAGGAGUCAGAAAUAAUUUAUUAACUCAUUUAAAUUCCCUCUCUGAAUUCAUUUUGAAGGGUUUCAUGUUAUACUAUUAAUAGUGACGUAUUUUAAAAUGUAGCGCCUAUUACGUCUAACAAAAUGAUUUAUAGACACAUUAUUUAACGAAAAAAUGUCUUUUAAUAGUGAGAAAAUAUACAACAAAUACCAUUUAUUUAAAUUCUUUGAAUAUGACAAUACAUAUUACCAGUUAAUCGGACAUAAAUUGUGAAUUGUAUGUGAACUUCUACGGAUCAAAUUAUUACUACAUUGCAUAUGACAUUUAAUACGUAAUACUAUUUUGAAUUAACAAGAAAAUGCUUCUUUCAAGUUCUAUUGUAUAGUAAAAAAGUUAAAUUGUUUUAAAAGAAAUAUCCAGACUAUUUUUAAAAUUAUUUGUGUAAUGAUUUGAAUGGCAAAGAAAUAUGGGGAUUUCCGUACAAAUGAUGAAGUAUUUUUAUGUUUAAAUUACGUCUUUAUCUCGAACUCUUGAUAAUUGAGGUCAAUAAUUAAGAAGGCAGAAGCUCUGGAACUUAUGGUAUUCAAUUUAUAUAUCUUAAAUCAAAUCAAAUUAUUAAUAACAAUAAAUGUUGAAUACAUGAAUUUUUUUCAAACAUUUAUAAACUUGACCAAAGUUAAGUAGAAUGCGUUUUGAUAUUAUACUCGGAUAUGAACCACCGCAUUCGUGAUUCGUUAAAAAAAGUACUAUAAAAAUUCACCUCUAGUCACGAAGUUCCAUAAUCGAAAACGGCACAAUUAUACGAUAUUAGCGUAUGCGAGAUGACUAUUUUAUUUAAUGUUAACGUGCAAGUAAUUAAUUUGCGUCUGAAUUCAUAGAAAAUUAUGCAAUUAAAAUGGUAAAGUGUACUUCACGGCUUGUAAAAAAUAUUACGCAGGUAUAUUGCUGUUAGCGUAUGGGGAAAUUGUGGAAAAAAAUACAUCCGUUUGUGCGUUACCUGCACGUCGAAUGGGUUAAACAGCGGCGGCAGUAUUUUUGAUGAAAAGGGACUGGGAGGUAUAAACACG